GAUUAGAUACCCUAUUAUAGAUAACUUAUAAAAAUUAGUAUAAAAAGAAAUUUAAGAUUUUUGGCGGUAGAUUAAUUAAUCAGAGGAGCUUGUUUUAGAAAUUACACUAUAUAUUUUAUUAAUUUUUGUUUAUUUAUCUCCGUUAUAAGGCAUAAAGCUUAAUAAAUUAUCAUUUUUAUUUCAGGUCAAGAUGUAGCAAUAAUUAGAUAAGAUUAGCUACAUUAAUGAAAUUUAUGGAUCUUAAAAGGAAGAUUUUUUUGUAAAAAUGAAUUUGAUUGUAAUUAUAUUUAAAAUUAUAAGAUGAAAAUAUAUUAUUUAUGUACAUAUUGCCCGUCACUUCUUUUGGUAAAAGAGAAUAAGUCGUAACAAAGUAAAUUUAAGGGA
Molecule: ribosomal RNA, 384 nt
Filed under: Cynorta fortina
Lineage: Eukaryota; Metazoa; Arthropoda; Arachnida; Opiliones; Cosmetidae
Description: partial small subunit ribosomal RNA
Source: RNAcentral